GACGAACGCUGGCGGCGUGCUUAACACAUGCAAGUCGAACGGAAAGGCCCUGCUUUUGUGGGGUGCUCGAGAGGCGAACGGGUGAGUAACACGUGAGUAACCUGCCCUUGACUUUGGGAUAACUUCAGGAAACUGGGGCUAAUACCGGAUAGGAGCUCCUGCUGCAUGGUGGGGGUUGGAAAGUUUCGGCGGUUGGGGAUGGACUCGCGGCUUAUCAGCUGGUUGGUGGGGUAGUGGCUUACCAAGGCUUUGACGGGUAGCCGGCCUGAGAGGGUGACCGGCCACAUUGGGACUGAGAGACGGCCCAGACGCCUACGGGAGGCAGCAGUGGGGAAUAUUGCACAAUGGGCGGAAGCCUGAUGCAGCAACGCCGCGUGCGGGAUGACGGCCUUCGGGUUGUAAACCGCUGUCGCCUGUGACGAAGCGUGAGUGACGGUAAUGGGUAAAGAAGCACCGGCUAACUACGUG
RNAcentral lists this ribosomal RNA (468 nucleotides) under uncultured bacterium. RNAcentral's name for it is "partial 16S ribosomal RNA". It matches the Rfam family "Bacterial small subunit ribosomal RNA", at positions 28 to 507 of the family's 1533-position model. The record is from RNAcentral.